UGGGUCGGCAAGACGGUCGCGUCACGCGCUGCUUCUGAAAAGGUGCAGCGCGUGCCGAGGAACGUCCGGGCUCCACAGGGCAGGAUGGUGGGUAACACCCACCCGGGGUAACCCGCGAGAAAGUGCAACAGAAAGCAGACCGCCACUGACUUCGGUCAGGGGUAAGGGUGAAACGGUGGUGUAAGAGACCACCAGCGGCCCGAGUGAUCGGGUCGGCUGGGUAAACCUCGUCCGGAGCAAGGUCAGACAGAAGGCGUCACGGGUGGCCCGCCCAGUCUUCGGGUAGACCGCUGGAGGGCUGCGGCAACGUAGUCCCGAGAUAGAUGGCCGUCCAUCGCCGCUCGCGCGGCAGGGACAGAACCCGGCGUAUCAGCCGGCCCAUUCG
This 385-nucleotide RNase P RNA is filed under the name Homoserinimonas aerilata. RNAcentral describes it as "Bacterial RNase P class A". It matches the Rfam family "Bacterial RNase P class A". Rfam says of the family: Ribonuclease P (RNase P) is a ubiquitous endoribonuclease, found in archaea, bacteria and eukarya as well as chloroplasts and mitochondria. Lineage: Bacteria; Bacillati; Actinomycetota; Actinomycetes; Micrococcales; Microbacteriaceae. The record is from Rfam by way of RNAcentral.